AUGUUAAUAAAAUUAAUUAAUAAAAUUAUUGUAUGUGUUUGUUGUAUAGUGCUGCACUUAAAACGAUUGACGAAAAACUGCACAAGGACAAUGAGCGAUCUGCUAAAAAGAUUCAGAGUGAGCUUCUGUUUAGAAUACAGUUAAAAGCAUCAGUCUGCAAUAUUAGAAAACCAGUAAAACAACUCAGGUGGACCUCUGGAAAAGCCAGGCUAUUUGCUUUAUACGAGCUUACAUGUCCUACAAAUUUAUUAAUAGGACAGACCCUAUUAAUAAACUGCCAUGUUGUGAAACCGAAAGCAAAGCAUCCAGAAAAAUUCAUGUCUGGGGAGCCAAAUUCCAUCAGGGACCUGGACCGCUAGUUGUGUUAGAAGGAAUUAUGGACAGAUGUUUUUACGAAGACACUAUAAUAAAAUUCAAUCAGGCUCCAUACGUAAAACAACACUUUAAGAACCACAUCGCUUCUUCCAAGUUAGAUACAGUAUGUAGGCCUA
Danio rerio (zebrafish) is the source of this 491-nucleotide non-coding RNA. The record is from RefSeq and is a predicted model, not a curated record. NCBI's taxonomy places the organism in Eukaryota, Metazoa, Chordata, Actinopteri, Cypriniformes, Danionidae.